CCUACGGGGGGCAGCAGUGAGGAAUAUUGGUCAAUGGGCGCGAGCCUGAACCAGCCAAGUAGCGUGAAGGAUGACUGCCCUACGGGUUGUAAACUUCUUUUAUAAAGGAAUAAAGUGCGGCAUGUGUGCCUUUUUGCAUGUACUUUAUGAAUAAGGAUCGGCUAACUCCGUGCCAGCAGCCGCGGUAAUACGGAGGAUCCGAGCGUUAUCCGGAUUUAUUGGGUUUAAAGGGCGCGUAGGUGGGUUGUUAAGUCAGUUGUGAAAGUUUGCGGCUCAACCGUAAAAUUGCAAUUGAUACUGGCAGCCUUGAGUACAGUUGAGGUAGGCGGAAUUCGUGGUGUAGCGGUGAAAUGCUUAGAUAUCACGAAGAACUCCGAUUGCGAAGGCAGCUUACUAGACUGCCACUGACAUUGAUGCUCGAAAGUGUGGGUAUCAAACAGGAUUAGAUACCCCAGUAGUC
This 460-nucleotide ribosomal RNA is filed under the name uncultured bacterium. Its description in RNAcentral is "partial 16S ribosomal RNA". It matches the Rfam family "Bacterial small subunit ribosomal RNA", at positions 338 to 795 of the family's 1533-position model. The record is from RNAcentral.